GAUCCUGGCUCAGGAUGAACGCUAGCGACAGGCCUAACACAUGCAAGUCGAGGGGCAACAUGGUAUCAGCUUGCUGAUACCGAUGGCGACCGGCGCACGGGUGAGUAACGCGUAUGUAAUCUACCUGUAACAGGAGGGAUAACCCGGAGAAAUCCGGACUAAUACCUCAUAGCACAUAUUAUUCGCAUGAAUUUUAUGUUAAAGAGACUCGGUUACAGAUGAACAUGCGUU
RNAcentral lists this ribosomal RNA (231 nucleotides) under uncultured bacterium. RNAcentral describes it as "partial 16S ribosomal RNA". It matches the Rfam family "Bacterial small subunit ribosomal RNA", at positions 15 to 237 of the family's 1533-position model. The record is from RNAcentral.